Molecule: ribosomal RNA, 467 nt
Filed under: uncultured bacterium
Lineage: Bacteria
Description: bacterial SSU rRNA
Rfam family: Bacterial small subunit ribosomal RNA
Source: RNAcentral
UUCCAGACUCCUACGGGAGGCAGCAGUGAGGAAUAUUGGUCAAUGGGCGGAAGCCUGAACCAGCCAAGUCGCGUGAGGGAAGAAGGCCCUGCGGGUCGCAGACCUCUUUGGACGGGGAGCAAGGCCGCCGACGUGUCGGCGGAAGGAGAGUACCCGUAGAACAAGCAUCGGCUAACUCCGUGCCAGCAGCCGCGGUAAUACGGAGGAUGCGAGCGUUAUCCGGAUUUAUUGGGUUUAAAGGGUGCGCAGGCGGCGCGGCAAGCAGGCGGUAAAAUCGCGGGGCUCACCCCCGCCUAGCCGUCGGAACUGCCGGGCUAGAGUGGGCGAGAAGUGCGCGGAAUGCGUGGUGUAGCGGUGAAAUGCAUAGAUAUCGCGCAGAACUCCGAUUGCGAAGGCAGCAUGCCGGCUCCACACUGACGCUGAGGCACGAAGGCGUGGGUAUCGAACAGGAUUAGAUACCCCGGUAC